RNAcentral lists this long non-coding RNA (4268 nucleotides) under Capsicum annuum. Its description in RNAcentral is "long non-coding RNA (CANN_LNC021099)". Lineage: Eukaryota; Viridiplantae; Streptophyta; Magnoliopsida; Solanales; Solanaceae. The record is from RNAcentral.
CUUGUUUUUCAUUGAUUUCUAAAUUUUUUGUAUUUGUUAAGAUUUCUGUAGAUGUUUCACUUUCUUUCGAAUCAUAAUUAUAUGUUUCUUCAACAUCUCUUGUAUUAAUUUCUAAUUCCUUGGUUUCUAUUUCUUUAUUGUUUAUUUCUAAUUUUUCUUUAAAUUGAUUUAUCUCAUUUAAUAAUUUUUGUUCUUUAUCUUUUUCUUUUUUUUUCUUCCUGUCUUUUUUCAUACAGAUCCUUUAGCAUUUGUAGUUCUUUUUUAAUUCAGUAAUCCUACUAUUUUUAGUUUCUUCUAAUUUUCGUAUUUCUUCUGUAAUUUGUUGUUUUAUUCUUUCUAUUUCCUUUUUUUCUAUCUAUUUCUUCAUUUUCUUUUUCUAUUCUCACCAUAGCUGUCAAUUUAUCUUCUAAUUUUAAUUCUUCUUUUCUCUAACAUUAAAUAUAAAUGUUCACCUAUUUUCUUAUACCUUCUCCCUAGAUUAAAAAAUGUUAUUUUUAUUUUUAACCCUUCAUGUUUUUUCAUCUAUUAUAAGUUCUUCUUUAUUCAUUUUUUAUUUAAUUGUUAAUAGAUCAUGUUGGUAUGUAUAUUCUAGACUAUCUAUUGUUGAUUCUAAAUUUGAUAUUUCUUCUUUUUGUGCAUUUAUUGAGUUUUUACUAACUCCUGCAAUUAUAUUAUACUGUAGUCUUUCUAACCUUAUUUUUAAUUCUUUACGUUUUUCAAAUAUUAUUUGUUUUGAUUCUUUAUAUUUUUGUACGUUAUUCGUUUAAAUAAUAUUUUGGGAAUAUCUAAAUCUCAUCAUAAUUAAUGAAUUAAUUAAAUAAAUCCAUAUAUAUACUACUUCCGUAUUUUUUAAAUAACAAGGUUCUGAUACCAUUUGUAGGGGGUGUGGAUUAGGCGCGGUAAGUUUACUAGAAAAUAAAUACUUAGGUAUUUAAAAAAUUGGGUGUGGUGUGGUCAGGGGGUUGGUGGGGUCGGGUGGGGUCGAGGCUGGUGGGGUGGGGGAUAAGGUGAAGAAAAAAAUAAGACUAUAACAUUAAGUAAGGGCAUAACUGAAAAAAAAUAAGCAAACCAUGGAAUACCACCAAAUUGGUGGUUACAUAAAAUGAAGGUUUUCAUGGUUAUUAAAUCAUGAAAUUAAACCAUAACAGACGAUACAUUUUAAGAAACAAUCAAAACAAACGUGAUUCUCUUAAUAACUAUAUCAUACCAUACCAUGGAAAACCACCAUCCAAACAGAGGGUUAAACAUCAAGAGCAUAAUACAAUCUAUAAGACAGUAACAAAAACCCAUAAUCUGCAUCAAACACAAAGAUGUGAAAAUGCUGCCUUAUAAUAAGUUUCAUUUUCAAAAAUCGUCAGAAAAGAUCACACUUAAUAUUUCAACUAAAUCAAUAAAUGUAAUUUUUUUUUUUUCAUUUUUGUGGAAAGGUCCUAAACAUAAUAUUAAGUCUUAAGUUCAGUCUAACUUCACAUAAAAUUUUCCAGAAGAGUUACUAAAUAUUUUUUAUUUAAUCAUAAAAUCAAAUCAGUCAACUUUCAUUAGUUUCCAUAAUCUCUAUAUUUUUUCUUUAAAAGAAGACUUAAGGGCCAAUGAUUAUCAAUUAGUGUUAAAUAUCAUCAUUACUAUAAUGGAUAAAUUCAAAAUUUAUUGGUGUUAACUGUUUAGAUCAUCAUAAUAAAAAAAAUCCUAUUUAUGAAUUUUGAAAUCCAAUUGAACCAACGAACCCCAAUAAGUAGCUGCUUUUGGAAACUAGUCAAAACUCAAAAGUGGUUCAAAAUUGACAUUGACACAUGGUAUUUGAUCGAAGCUUUAGUAGGUAGAUAUUCUCUUCUCUAAGAAUUGUACUUGAGACUUCAUCUCAUACGGCUCCAUCGUGAACUUUUCGUUGUUGGUCUCGCCAUUGAUGUUAUAAAAAUAUGUUAUACAUGUCAGUCGAUCCAAGAUUUUGAGUGUAUGAGUGGUGGAUUCUAGGAAAAGUAAUUUAUUAAGUUUAAAUUAUUUGUACAUACUGACUAAUUUUUAACACAAAUACAGAACUUUGUCAAAAGCUAGGAAUUCUCUUGAAUCCGUAGCUAGAAAUCUAGUUCGGCUCAUACUUUCUUCCUUUAUGUAAAUUAAACCUUAUGUUAUUGUCAUUUCACUUCAAGCACAACAUGCGUGUUCAAUGCAACACUUAUUUGUGGAAACGUUGGGUUCAAUUGAAUACCAAAAUUAUUUUCAUGACUAAGAUUUUUUUUUGUGCGUGUAUUUUCACUUGUCGUUGUCUAUAUAUAGUUUUAUACAUUAUUAGUCUACUUGACAAAGGGUAAAUUUAUAUGUAAGUACAGUUAAUUUUUUUUACGAGAGUUCUUGUUUUAUUACUGUUCAAAUGAGUAAUUCAACAAUCAAGAGGAGACAUUAAACACGAGAGAGUUUUAAUUUCUUCAUUUAAUUCAUUUUAUUUAUUGUUAAGUUCUUCGGUCAUUGCAUUGUAGAAAAAAGUAAGUGUUUUUUUAAUUCAACUUAAGAUUGAUUUUUUUUUUACUACUAUAUUCUUAGUAUUUAGUAUUUAAUGAACAGUUAUAACUUAUACAUAUAUUGUCUCAAGCAUAUUAGUUUGUUAAUUUCAACAUGUAAACAAAUUUAAAGAGAUAGAAUAUGAAGUUCUCCCCAUCCCAAAGUAGAAAAUCAAAGAACUUUAACUUGAGUUAAAGUCAAACUAACUAUAAUAUGUUGGAUAUUUCGGGUCAUGGCUCGUCCACAUGAACCGACCCAGCCUGGCCCAUUUGUCCCAUUUAUCUGAAAAAAAGAAGAAAUUAAGACCAAAUUUUGAAUUUUGGGGGAACAGUUACAAAAGAAAAACUGUUCCACUCCCCUUAUAUUCAUCGAGUUUUCUUCUUCAGAAACAUGUGACGAAAAACAGCAACACAAAAGGGCAAACACAUUACAUUAACAAAACACUAAAUUGAAAGGCAUUUAGUUUGUGGAUUUACACUCCAUUUUCAAGAGAAACGAAACAAACUUGGAGCGAUUCUUUCGAUAGCAAAUUCAACGACUUCCGCUGCAACAGAGAAAGGUACACACUGAUUUCUGAUUUUGCUCUGAUUUUACCAUCAAUGCUAUCAGAGUCAGGUUUAUUGCCCUAAUUUUUCAUGUAAUAUCUCGAUUUUGAGUGUAGAAAUAAAAAAUUGAAUUAGGACACACUUGUAAGAAAAAUUAUUGACCGGAUAUAAAUCAUAUAAUCCGGUUAGACACGUAAAAUUUGGUCAGACAUACCACUAAGCCGGUCAGACGCGCCAUCGCUAAUCCGAUCGGAUGCACCGCUGAUCCAAUCAGACGCAUUGAAGUUUUUUUUUUUUUUCAGAACCGGCCUGUUUUAAAAAAAUUAAUAUAUAUAUAUAUACAUAUAUAUAUAUAUAUACAUAUUUGAAAUGGAGAUAGUAAGAAUUAGAUUAUGCUCCCCUCUGUUGCUCCAUCUUGGAUUGAGAUUUUUUUGGAGAAGUUUUUUUUUGAGAACGCUCUUUUUCUUUGCUUUGUUUCUUUAAUGAGAAAUGAAUUCCUUCUUAAAAAUGGUGAAGAAAGACGUUCUACUUUGUGCUUUGUGUUAAAAUAAUUUUUUUUGUUGUAUGGUACUAAUGUUUGUGUAGUACAAGUAAGGACUAAUUGCAGUACAUAUAUAAAAAGUGUAAAAAUGUUACACUAUUCUCUUUCAUCAUUUAAAAAAUAAUUGAUUUGAUAAAAGAAAUAUGGAGAAUCGUAUAGUGUAAAAAUUAUGCCUUUUAAUUUUAUUUAUUAAAUGAGUGUAUAAAUUAGACUUGAUAUAAUUCUUUCCUAAAUUUUUCAUAAACAGAUUUUGUCUUCUACAAUAAAUUGUGACAUAAGUUGUCGCAUUGAAUGGCAUAAUCAUUCUUAUCAUUUCUUGGUUCCUAUUUCAGACAUGGCUGAAUGGGAACAAACUCGAAUCACUUCAAGUGGGAGUUCAAGAUUUCGAGCAAAGAAACAAAGUGGAAGAGCACGUCGUUGAAGGACAUGUUUUUGAGGUCGUGAGAUCAUACGAAAUGAUGUUCCUAGAGCGACACCAAAUCUAUUACGGAAUGAAAGGGCUAUGCGACGAGAAAGAGAAGAAACUGAAAAAAUUGAAGUCUUUUAAGAUGACCCCUAACAUAACUGUUGCUAGUUUAAUACAUUUCUUUGAAUUGAAACAUGUAGAACUGAAAAAUUAUGUAGAAAUCUCGGAUUGGUAAGCAUUAGCUAUUUUAGCAAAUUCUUUCCGUGAUCCUUGGAGCGAG